Molecule: ribosomal RNA, 272 nt
Filed under: Escherichia coli
Lineage: Bacteria; Pseudomonadati; Pseudomonadota; Gammaproteobacteria; Enterobacterales; Enterobacteriaceae
Description: partial 16S ribosomal RNA
Rfam family: Bacterial small subunit ribosomal RNA
Source: RNAcentral
AAAUUGAAGAGUUUGAUCAUGGCUCAGAUUGAACGCUGGCGGCAGGCCUAACACAUGCAAGUCGAACGGUAACAGGAAACAGCUUGCUGUUUCGCUGACGAGUGGCGGACGGGUGAGUAAUGUCUGGGAAACUGCCUGAUGGAGGGGGAUAACUACUGGAAACGGUGGCUAAUACCGCAUAACGUCGCAAGACCAAAGAGGGGGACCUUCGGGCCUCUUGCCAUCGGAUGUGCCCAGAUGGGAUUAGCUAGUAGGUGGGGUAACGGCUCACC